AAGCUACACUCUGUGUCAGUAGUCCCUCGGGACAAUGAUCUGACUCAAUUUGAGCUUUGCUACAGAGAGGUUCAGUCUCACUUCAUUCACUGGUCCCUCCCUCUGUGACGUCUGGUGAAACGUGAACUGGCACAUU
RNAcentral lists this small nucleolar RNA (136 nucleotides) under Amphilophus citrinellus (Midas cichlid). Its description in RNAcentral is "Small nucleolar RNA SNORA28 (ENSACIG00000021193.1)". The record is from RNAcentral. Lineage: Eukaryota; Metazoa; Chordata; Actinopteri; Cichliformes; Cichlidae.